This 785-nucleotide ribosomal RNA is filed under the name uncultured bacterium. RNAcentral's name for it is "bacterial SSU rRNA". It matches the Rfam family "Bacterial small subunit ribosomal RNA", at positions 560 to 1343 of the family's 1533-position model. The record is from RNAcentral.
GUAAAGAGCUCGUAGGUGGUCUGUCGCGUCUGCUGUGGAAACGCAACGCUCAACGUUGCGCGUGCAGUGGGUACGGGCGGACUGGAGUGCAGUAGGGGAGUCUGGAAUUCCUGGUGUAGCGGUGAAAUGCGCAGAUAUCAGGAGGAACACCGGUGGCGAAGGCGGGACUCUGGGCUGUUACUGACGCUGAGGAGCGGAAGCAUGGGGAGCGAACAGGAUUAGAUACCCUGGUAGUCCAUGCCGUAAACGUUGGGCACUAAGUGUGGGGUCCAUUCCACGGAUUCCGUGCCGGAGCUAACGCAUUAAGUGCCCCGCCUGGGGAGUACGGCCGCAAGGCUAAAACUCAAAGGAAUUGACGGGGGCCCGCACAAGCGGCGGAGCAUGCGGAUUAAUCCGAUGCAACGCGAAGAACCUUACCAAGGCUUGACAUACACCGGACCGGGCUGGAGACAGUCCUUCCCUUCGGGGCUGGUGUACAGGUGGUGCAUGGUUGUCGUCAGCUCGUGUCGUGAGAUGUUGGGUUAAGUCCCGCAACGAGCGCAACCCUCGUUCCAUGUUGCCAGCACGUGAUGGUGGGGACUCAUGGGAGACUGCCGGGGUCAACUCGGAGGAAGGUGGGGAUGACGUCAAAUCAUCAUGCCCUUUAUGUCUUGGGCUUCACGCAUGCUACAAUGGCCGGUACAGAGGGUGGCGAUACCGUGAGGUGGAGCGAAUCCCAGAAAGCCGGUCUCAGUUCGGAUCGUAGUCUGCAACUCGACUACGUGAAGUCGGAGUCGCUAGUAAUC